GCAAUGGUGGUUUAGUGGUAGAAUUCUAGCGUCCCACGCAGGAGACCUGGGUCCGAUUCCCGGCCAACGCA
Molecule: non-coding RNA, 71 nt
Organism: Danio rerio (zebrafish)
Lineage: Eukaryota; Metazoa; Chordata; Actinopteri; Cypriniformes; Danionidae
Source: Rfam